This 562-nucleotide long non-coding RNA is filed under the name Dromaius novaehollandiae (emu). Its description in RNAcentral is "lncRNA (ENSDNVG00000006418.1)". The record is from RNAcentral. Lineage: Eukaryota; Metazoa; Chordata; Aves; Casuariiformes; Dromaiidae.
UCGCUCUGAGAGCGACUGUGCUUUGUUCUGUAAGCGAGCUGCGGUCUCUGGUGCGCUGCAGCCUACCUUUUUAUUUAUUUUUAUUUUUUUCUCACUGACUCUUUGACACCCASCACCUCCCUGCCAGCCUGGUGUGGCUGAUCAAGCUGUUCAAACAACUGGAAGACAUCAGAAGUUAAACACUCAUUAUUUUAAUUUGAUGCUAAUCAUGUGUUAAUGAGACUAAUCCUUGCAAUGAUUCAGAAAAGCACCAGGAAUCCUAAAAGAAGAUCCUUAAAAAGGCAGUUGUGGAGUGUUAGACAGAGCUCUUGACCUAACACCUGGGGAUCUGCACUGUGUUCCUAGCUGGCCUGCUGUCAGCGCUAAGGGAUACUACGGUGCCUUCUGUACCAGCUGUCUGCUCUGCAUUGGAUAYUGCAGUCCAGCUGUGUCUGCAGUGAUGUAGCACGGCCCUUGAAUGACCAGCCAGAUGUGCAGUCGUGGUGCGAAGUAGGAGAUGCAGGCUGCAAGGUAAGAAAUAUUCAAGUCUUACUUAUCAAGGAACAUUAUGUCAGGUGAAAGG